UACAGAGGUGGCAAGCGUUGUUCGGAUUUAUUGGGCGUAAAGGGUUCGUAGGCGGCCUGAUAAGUUGGAUGUGAAAGCCCACAGCUCAACUGUGGAAUUGCAUUCAAAACUAUUAGGCUCGAGUGUGAGAGGGAUGAAGGGAAUUCCCGGUGUAAGGGUGAAAUCUGCAGAGAUCGGGAGGAACACCAGUCGCGAAGGCGCUUCUCUGGCUCACAACUGACGCUGAGGGACGAAAGCUAGGGUAGCAAACAGG
Molecule: unclassified non-coding RNA, 253 nt
Filed under: uncultured bacterium
Lineage: Bacteria
Description: contains 16S-23S intergenic spacer region
Rfam family: Bacterial small subunit ribosomal RNA
Source: RNAcentral